Long non-coding RNA from Xenia sp. Carnegie-2017, 294 nucleotides. RefSeq lists it as uncharacterized. Lineage: Eukaryota; Metazoa; Cnidaria; Anthozoa; Malacalcyonacea; Xeniidae. The record is from RefSeq and is a predicted model, not a curated record. The transcript has 2 exons.
AAAGUCCACCUUCUAAUAGCACACGCAGUGAUCCAGAAAGUCGACCCCAGGUGCUAAAUAAAGGGUUAUUUGUUUACAUCACAUCACCUAAAUUGAUGUUAGUUGCCUUCAUUCUCUCGACUGUCCUCAUCUCAAUACUCGUUCUGGACUGUAAUCUAUGUCAUCGUAAGAAAGGAAUAAUGUAUUCGAUAAAGAGUUGUGGAAAGAAUGAAGAGUGUAAAGACUGCAUAAGAAGACAGCAGACUAUGAUAGAAAUGGUUUAAGUAUCAGUAGUUUUUGUGUCACAUUUCUGCU